GCUGGUGCUCUGGGCCGUGGUCCUCUGCAAUCUGACUAUCUGGAACGGACGAGAUGACAGGAAGCUGCUCUGGUUGAGCAAUGGGAACCUGUAGAAACAAAGAAACAGUCAAUGUUACCAACCAAGCGAAGGGAUUUUUCAAAAGAAAGACGCAGUACCUCAAGAGAUGGAGAAUCCAGAACAACCAGCUCGGGUGUUUGAGCAGUCAGAACAGCCGGAGACGGAACCACUACUGCCAAC
RNAcentral lists this long non-coding RNA (240 nucleotides) under Setaria italica (foxtail millet). RNAcentral's name for it is "long non-coding RNA (SITA_LNC006150)". The record is from RNAcentral. Lineage: Eukaryota; Viridiplantae; Streptophyta; Magnoliopsida; Poales; Poaceae.